ACAAUCAUGGCAGAAGGGGAAGCAAACAUGUCCUUCACAUGGUGGCAGCAAGAAGUGCGGAGUGAAGCGGGGGCAAAGCCCCUUAUAAAACCAUCAGAUCUUGUGAGAACUCACUAUCAUGAGAACAGCAUGGAGGUAAUUAUCCAGUUGAUAUUUAUCUUGUUCCAGUCACCUUAAGAAAGCUGUUUGGCAAGGGCAGUGACUGGAAGCUGGGAGAGAGGGUCAACAGCUGAAUCUC
This 238-nucleotide non-coding RNA is filed under the name Pongo abelii (Sumatran orangutan). Lineage: Eukaryota; Metazoa; Chordata; Mammalia; Primates; Hominidae. The record is from RNAcentral.